UCCCGUUUGGUCUAGUGGUUAGGAUUUCUAGAUUUCACCCAGGAAGCCCGGGCUCAACUCCUGGCAUGGAAA
Molecule: non-coding RNA, 72 nt
Organism: Danionella cerebrum
Lineage: Eukaryota; Metazoa; Chordata; Actinopteri; Cypriniformes; Danionidae
Source: the annotation of a GenBank genome assembly